UUUGGAAAUGGACAAGGUAGAAGGG
This 25-nucleotide non-coding RNA is filed under the name Cricetulus griseus (Chinese hamster). Lineage: Eukaryota; Metazoa; Chordata; Mammalia; Rodentia; Cricetidae. The record is from RNAcentral.